This is a small nuclear RNA of Sciurus carolinensis (gray squirrel), 107 nucleotides long. NCBI's taxonomy places the organism in Eukaryota, Metazoa, Chordata, Mammalia, Rodentia, Sciuridae. The record is from RefSeq and is a predicted model, not a curated record.
GUGUUUGCUUUGGCAACACAUACACUAAAAUUGGAACCAGAUAGAGAAGAUUAGCAUGGCCCCUGCAUGAGUAUGACAUGCAAAUUCGUGAAGCAUUCCAUAUUUUU